Molecule: ribosomal RNA, 196 nt
Filed under: uncultured Eubacteriales bacterium
Lineage: Bacteria; Bacillati; Bacillota; Clostridia; Eubacteriales
Description: uncultured Clostridiales bacterium partial 16S ribosomal RNA
Rfam family: Bacterial small subunit ribosomal RNA
Source: RNAcentral
GGGAUAGCCUCUGGAAACGGAGAAUAAUACCCUAUGAAACUAUCUUAUCGCAUGAAAAGAUAGUCAAAGUGUUUUAGCGGUGUAAGAUGGACUUGCGUCUGAUUAGCUAGUUGGUGAGAUAACAGCCCACCAAGGCAACGAUCAGUAGCCGGUUUGAGAGAGUGUACGGCCACAUUGGGACUGAGACACGGCCCAG